Molecule: unclassified non-coding RNA, 528 nt
Filed under: Hevea brasiliensis (rubber tree)
Lineage: Eukaryota; Viridiplantae; Streptophyta; Magnoliopsida; Malpighiales; Euphorbiaceae
Source: RNAcentral
AGAGAGAGAGAGAGAGAAGGGGAAAGGAGGGGGGUGGGUGGUGUGGGGGUUGUUGUCUCCAUUCUGAUACUCUAGUUUGACAACCUCCUGUAUUUAUUUCCAAAGGACUACCCAGGCCCAAAAAGAAAUUAUUUGCUAAGCCACCUAGGUGACAGACUUAAAAACCGACAACAUCUCACCAUACUGUUAUACACUUGAAAUGAAGAUAAUGUACAAUCUUCAGUCUUUUGCGUAACAAAGUGGAAAAAAAGGCAUUACAAGUCGUCUUUUAUACAAGUAAAAGAAUUCCUCUGAAACCCCUAAGGAGGCGCAAUUCGAAAACAGGAAUCAUAAAAAUCAUACUAGGCAUCAAAAGGAACCUACAGCCAGUCAAUAUCCAAAAAGUUCAAAAACCAAGAAAUUCUUGAAGGAAGAAGAUUUGAGUCAAAUUGCAAACGACCAAAAGUGUACUGUCAAAAAUUUUUAAGAGGGUACAACCUGGUGCAAAAACAGAUAAUUUUGUACCUGUGAUCUAAGAUGCGCUUUUCA